RNAcentral lists this long non-coding RNA (290 nucleotides) under Malus domestica (apple). Its description in RNAcentral is "long non-coding RNA (MDOM_LNC005365)". Lineage: Eukaryota; Viridiplantae; Streptophyta; Magnoliopsida; Rosales; Rosaceae. The record is from RNAcentral.
CCGUAACCAUUUCCGUCGCCGUUCUCAACUGGAGCUGAAUCGAAGGGAGUGGAGUGGGAGUAGUUGGAGCCGGGACCGUCGAAUCCGAAAACAUCCGGGGAGUCAGGGGCGGCGGUGGCGGCGCCGUGGUCGGUGUAGGAGCCGUAGUCGGCGUAGCUCUCGACGACGACUUCGUCCUGGUCAAAUUGGCUGUUAGGGGCAUGAAGAUCGUCGCCGUCCACGCUGAAAGCGUCGAAGGAAGCCAUUUUUGGCGGCGGUGAUUUCUGUCUCUCUCUGUCUGAAGAGGAUUU